Molecule: non-coding RNA, 107 nt
Organism: Gossypium raimondii (Peruvian cotton)
Lineage: Eukaryota; Viridiplantae; Streptophyta; Magnoliopsida; Malvales; Malvaceae
Source: Rfam
AUUCCGUGAUGAGGGUAUUUUCAUAAUAAUUCUUUGUACCUUUCCCAUGCUUCAUACAAGGACUCAUCAUCUAUUUAUUGGAAAGAAGUGAUCUUAUUCCUCAACUU